Molecule: ribosomal RNA, 854 nt
Filed under: uncultured archaeon
Lineage: Archaea
Description: bacterial SSU rRNA
Rfam family: Archaeal small subunit ribosomal RNA
Source: RNAcentral
ACUGCUCAGUAACACGUAGUCAACCUGCCCUGGAGACAUGGACAACCCCGGGAAACUGGGAUUAAUCCGUGAUAGGUCACCACAUCUGGAAGGAGUGAUGGCCCAAAGGGCUGUGCAGGCUUCUUCUGCACUUUCGCUCCAGGAUGGGACUGCGGCCGAUCAGGCUGUUGGCGGUGUAAUGGACCACCAAACCUGUAACCGGUACGGGCUUUGAGAGAAGGAGCCCGGAGAUGGACACUGAGAAAAGGGUCCAGGUCCUACGGGGCGCAGCAGGCGCGGAACCUUCGCAAUGCGCGAAAGCGUGACGAGGUUAGUCCGAGUGGCUUCCGCUGAGGAGGUCUUUUGUUAGCUGUAAAAAGGCUAGAGAAUAAGGGGAGGGCAAGCCUGGUGUCAGCCGCCGCGGCAAUACCAGCUCCUCGAGUGGUCGGGGCGAUUAUUGGGCCUAAAGCAUCCGUAGCCGGUUCGGUAGGUCCCCUGCUAAAUCCAAUCGCUCAACGAUUGGCCCGCAGGGGAUACCGCCGGACUAGGAGGCGGGAGAGGAGGACGGCACUCCGCGGGUAGGGGUAAAAUCCUUUGAUCCGCGGAAGACCACCAGUGGCGAAGGCGGUCCUCCAGAACGCGCUCGACGGUGAGGGAUGAAAGCUGGGGGAGCGAACCGGAUUAGAUACCCGGGUAGUCCCAGCCGUAAACGAUGCUAGCUAGAUGAUUCAGUCGCAAAUCGCGCCUGAAGUGUCGCAGGGAAGCCGUUAAGCUAGCCGCCUGGGGAGUACGGUCGCAAGGCUGAAACUUAAAGGAAUUGGCGGGGGAGCACCACGAGGGGUGAAGCCUGCGGUUCAAUUGGAUUCAACGCCGGA